This 406-nucleotide ribosomal RNA is filed under the name uncultured bacterium. RNAcentral's name for it is "partial 16S ribosomal RNA". It matches the Rfam family "Bacterial small subunit ribosomal RNA", at positions 30 to 526 of the family's 1533-position model. The record is from RNAcentral.
AUCGAACGCUGGCGGCAGGCCUAACACAUGCAAGUCGAACGAGUGGCGGACGGGUGAGUAGUGUCUGGGAAACUGCCUGAUGCAGGGGGAAAACUACUGGAACCGGUAGCUAAUACCGCAUACCAUCGGAUGUGCCCAGAUGGGAUUAGCUAGUAGGUGGGGUACAGGCUCACCUAGGCGACGAUCCCUAGCUGGUCUGAGAGGAUGACCAGCAAACCUGGAACGGAAACACGGUCCAGACUCCUACGGGAGGCAGCAGUGGGGAAUAUUGCACAAUGGGCGCAAGCCUGAUGCAGCCAUGCCGCGUGUAUGAAGAAGGCCUUCGGGUUGUAAAGUACUUUCAGCGUGGAGGCGUUACCCGCAGAAGAAGCACCGGCUAACUACGUGCCAGCAGCCGCGGUAAUUC